Long non-coding RNA from Pocillopora damicornis (cauliflower coral), 970 nucleotides. NCBI's taxonomy places the organism in Eukaryota, Metazoa, Cnidaria, Anthozoa, Scleractinia, Pocilloporidae. The record is from RefSeq and is a predicted model, not a curated record.
CCGCUGAACCGUUCAUGUCAGGAAGUAUUUUGGAACGUAUUUUUGUAGACAUAGCAUUGCCGUGAACUUUUAUGCUAAUAUACGAACGAGUAAAAAUAGGUUUCAGUUAAUUACGAAAUAAAUGACAAGGUUUUUUGAGCAGCUGAAUGACUAAAUGAACACAGUACUUCUACAUGUGAUUAUUAGAACGAUCUGCCUUCUUUCGUUUUCUUCAUACAUUUAACCAAACCGAUUUUAUAAAUUGGGUUUGUUUUGACGAACGGAAUUAAGAUCGUCGUAAUUUCUCUCGGGAGCGACCUGCCGUGAGGUGGGCAAAUUGGCCAUGUUAGGGGUUGAGUGAAAUUGCUACUUAAUUCAGAGGAAAAGAGGCAUUAAGGACAUUAAGUUAACAUAUGCGAGUUAAUCAAAUAGCACAAAAUAAAUUGCACGUACGUACGCAUUCAAGCAUAAUUACAUGACAAAGCGUGGUUAAGUGUUUUUUCCAAAAGCUGCCAUUAACUGCGGUAAAAUACUCCAUAAAUAAUUGUGGCGACACUUUACAAAGAUCUAUUUCCCAGCAGAUGGUGCUCUUCUUGUCAAGAACUGACAUAAAUUAAUCCUGCAGCUAUAAAACAAACGGUUGUCUGAUAACAAUUCAUUCAGCAGAUCGAGGCGAGCGAAGUAAUUAAAGAUAAAGAAGUUCCGUUCUUGACAAAACACGGUAAUCGAUCAUGGCGAAUUGUAAACUUACAGUCUUUAUUGCCGCGAUUUUCAUCAUACAUUUUGUGUCCUCCAAGUCAUCUCAGUGUGUGACUGACUGUACCAGCGUAUCAAAACAAUGUCUGGACGACUGUGAUGAUCAACUGUGCGCUAAUAAUUGUACUGAGACAAGGGAAAACUGUUACAAAGAGUGUAACACACUUAGAAGAGAAUUUUUCUCUCGUUUUUUCGACGAUCGUUUCAACCCUAAAGAUGAUGUUAAAGACAACGA